Non-coding RNA from Meleagris gallopavo (turkey), 1705 nucleotides. The record is from RefSeq and is a predicted model, not a curated record. Lineage: Eukaryota; Metazoa; Chordata; Aves; Galliformes; Phasianidae.
CUGGGUACCUACUUAAGCUUAGCCCCGAUCCUUUAAUUUUUUUUAGGCUGUGCUGAAACCCUCUUUCUUCAGCUCUCUGUUUUUGUCUUUGCCUGGCUCUUACUGGAGUAUUUGAGGGAUUCAUUGGAGUCACUGGGUUGUCCUGGUUGCUCCUGGGGAGCUGCUCUUUGUUUGUGACCCCCUGAAAGCUGAAAGCACUGCGAAGUUUAUUCUGAUCCUUCUAAAAGAAUGGAGUCCCCAAGGAUGCAUUGCUUCACUGACUUUGCCACUGCAUGUUGUUCCCUUUUUUCCAAAAACAGCGCAAUGUCCUGUGUCUUUCCAAAGGCUGGGCUUAGAAGGGAGGUCUAGUACUUAGCAAUUAGUAAUUCAUUAAAAUAAUGCUGUAAUAGUUGAUAUAGAUACUUUGUUAACGAUUGCAUUUUUUCCUUUUUUUCUGGGUGAUAAACAACCUAUCUCACUGGAGGGCCAGAAUGUAUAUUUGACUUCUGUUUCUUUAGUUAAGUGUAUGUUAGGAAGUAAGCAUAUGAGUUAAUGUCUCUUUGGUAUGAUUCAGUCUUCAACAGUAUGGAGUUAAACCAUGAAAUUAUAGGUAUUUUAAGCCUCUGAACAUAAAUUUUCUAAAGUAACUGUGGCGAAGAACUACAUUUAAAAGCAUCAAACUCAUAUUUCAAGUCUAGCAGAAAAUAACUUGAAAAAAUAUUGCAUUCAAGUGAACAUCAGAAACACAUCUGUAUAUUUUAUUAGACUUUGAAAAUAGCCGUGGAUUGCUGACUGUAGGAAGAAAUACACUGUUUCUUCCUGUUCUGAACCACUGUGUUCUAAACCAUCUGCUGUGCUCUCUACACAGAGCUACAAAGCACUUGUGUGAAAAUAACUUUGUAGAUUUGAGAAAUUAGAUACGGGCAAAGAAAUGAACGUGUUGAAUCUGAAUAAUGUAAAAUCUCAUUCAAACUAUUAUGUAAGAUGGAUUAAGGCAGUAGCUUUUUUCAGUCCUAUUAUUUACAGUAAUAUUCAUUUUCUUCAUUUGAAUAUCCAUAUGAAUUAUCUUCCUUUUUAAUUUAGCAUCUCUUAGAGUCCACUUGUGCAGUGGUUGAUAGCAAGGUCUUUGUACCCAUUUUUGGGAUAGGUUACAACAUCUGUUUAGAGAGUCGUGUGUUCAUAAGUCUUUUUGCGAAGACUUGCUACGUUUGGCUUUUACUGUGUGUGAUAUAGAGGACUCUAUAUUGUGGUUUCGUGUAAAUUCAACAAUAACGAGGAAAAAAUGGAUAUCGGUAACAUGGCAACUGCUUUCUAAUUCUGUUCCACUUUUUUAAAUGUACCAUUUUAUUUUAGUUGUAUUCAGACUAUAAUUCUCAAAUAUGUAUGGAUAGAAAAUCAGUCAAUAUCAAGUAUUUGCUCCACAUAGAUGUAAUCUGUAGUUUUCAUGUUUGUGUUUAUCAAUUGUAAGUGAUACUGAAUCAGUUUGAGACCAGUCCUGCCAAAUGUGACAGUAGAAGUUUUGCUAUUGACUUCAGUGGAAGAAGAAUGUAGCCAGCACUAAGUGGAAAGGCUGUUUUUCCUCUCUGGAGAUGUUUUGCAGGAUUACGUGAUCGUUUGGUUGAGCUGAGCCCUGGUGUAUGCAGGUCACUUCAGGAUGUUUUCAUGCUUGUGACCAGAUGGAAAAUGUCUUUUGCAAUCAAUAAAAACAUUUCAAAUUUUUUUUCAA